Molecule: ribosomal RNA, 254 nt
Filed under: uncultured bacterium
Lineage: Bacteria
Description: partial 16S ribosomal RNA
Rfam family: Bacterial small subunit ribosomal RNA
Source: RNAcentral
UACGUAGGGUGCGAGCGUUGUCCGGAAUUAUUGGGCGUAAAGAGCUCGUAGGCGGUGUGUCACGUCGGCCGUGAAAACCUGCAGCUUAACUGUGGGCGUGCGGUCGAUACGGGCAUCACUGGAGUUCGGCAGGGGAGACUGGAAUUCCUGGUGUAGCGGUGAAAUGCGCAGAUAUCAGGAGGAACACCGGUGGCGAAGGCGGGUCUCUGGGCCGUAACUGACGCUGAGGAGCGAAAGCGUGGGGAGCGAACAGG